RNAcentral lists this ribosomal RNA (254 nucleotides) under uncultured bacterium. RNAcentral's name for it is "partial 16S ribosomal RNA". It matches the Rfam family "Bacterial small subunit ribosomal RNA", at positions 524 to 776 of the family's 1533-position model. The record is from RNAcentral.
UACGGGGGGGGGCAAGCGUUGUUCGGAAUUACUGGGCGUAAAGGGCUCGUAGGCGGCCAACUAAGUCAUACGUGAAAUCCCUCGGCUUAACCGGGGAACUGCGUCUGAUACUGGAUGGCUUGAGAUUGGGAGAGGGAUGCGGAAUUCCAGGUGUAGCGGUGAAAUGCGUAGAUAUCUGGAGGAACACCGGUGGCGAAGGCGGCAUCCUGGACCAACACUGACACUGAGGAGCGAAAGCCAGGGGAGCAAACGGG